GUACCCCAAACCCCUCAUCCCAGGCCCCACCCCAGAGCCUGACCCCCAGCCCAGAGCCCUGACCCCCUCCCACACCCUGAAUUCCUCAUUCCUGGCCCCACCCCGCAGCCUAUUGAUGUGGUUUUGUGCAAAUUGUGAUAGAGACACCUUAUUUGUUAGAGAUAGAGGGAUAGAGCCUCAGCUGGUGUGAAUUGUCAUAGCUCUAUUGAUUUCAACAAAGGAAGCUGUGACAAUUCACACUAGCUGAGGAUUUGCUGCCCUAGAGAUUACACUUCUAAUUUAAAAGUGGUAUUGAUUGAAAUGUAUAUGCCAUGUUGUUAGAUGUUCUCUUAUGUUUCUGAGCUUCUAUGUUUAUGUUAGCCCUUCCUCUCUACUUUUCAGAAAAUAAUAGAACUCAGAGUUACUAUAGAAUUGGGAUACAAGUUGAGGAGAGCAACAGGUCUGGCCACUGGGAUCAAUAUCUGUGGAUUUCCUAUGCCUGUGAUCUAUGCAUAGGAUCUAUGCCUGUGAUCCUAUGCAUCUGAUGAAUGUUGAUUGAUGAAAACAGAAAUGAGUAAGAAAGAACAGAGUAAAACUAAUUACUCUUUCUCUGCAACUUGUUUUUAGGACUUUAAAUUCUGAAACAUUAUUUGUUUGUCAUUGUGUAUUAGGUUAUUUUAAAUUACAAACUGUUUAAAAUGUCUUGCUAACAGCUACAAUGGUUCAGCUUUUAUAAAUUGGUUACCGCACAGAAAUCUGAAAGUACAAAGUAAACCAGCUUGCUGGCUCACUAAAGUUUCUGAUGUGUUCUUGAGAGAGGAGAUGAUACAAAACCAUCCUCAAAAUGUAAUUUGACAAUCUGUUUUUUGGUUGUUUAUUAUAUGGUAUCCAUAUGCUAUAAUUUUGUGUGGUUCAUAGUUACAAAAGUUAAAAACUAAAAUUUUCAGUAGUUGGAGUGAAUGCUGUCUCAUGCAUCUUUUUAUGUAAAAUAUUUUUAAAUAGUCUGUGGUAAAACACUUAAUUUCUUUUGACAGGUUUAUUACUUAUAAUGGUUCUCAGAGAAUCUGAUUUGAAUGAAUUUAAGCCAACAGUAAAGUAGCCUGAAAUACCAAGUGUGUUUAAUAGUGUUACCUAUGGAAAUGUGAGAUACAUAGUUAAUAACAAGGUACAAAUUCUGCCCACCUCUGUGUUUGGUUUCUGAAAUAUAAUUUAUAUUAUUUGGUGUCUAGUCUCACCACCAAGAAGAAAAAUGUAUAUCAGCAUUUAAAGAAAUAUGAUUCAAUAGCAGACUCAUGUGUUUGUAGCAUGAAUUAGUUUUUGAUGGUUGUGAAGGCUGACUCUUGCCUUAUAAGCCCUUGUUUUCACAUGCUCAUAACUUUCUGGAAAAUUCUUCCUUUCAUCUGGAAUUUUCCAUAUGUGAUCCCAGCCAUAAAGUGAGGUUUUUUUUCAAGUUAGAGCAAAAUCUUUUCACCCCAUUUAACUGUAGAAGAGUGAAAAAAUAUUUCUAUUAAAAAAGACUGUAACCCUAAACCUGUGACAACGUAUACAUGCACUUAGCUGUGUGCAUGUGAAUAUUUCCAUAACUGCCACAUACAUAUCUUUGUUAGAUUAGGGUCUUUCAGCCCCAUUAGCAUAAACAGUAAAUCAAAAAUGCCUGAGAUUUACAAGAUGAAACUUUCUAAGUAGUUAGUCCUCAGUGAGGUCAAUUUACAUAGCAAUACACACAAACAUACAAUAAUUUAAAUUAAAAAAUAAUACAGUUUCAAGCAAUUGACUAAUCAGUUUUACACAUGUGCACUCAUUUUAGAAUUAUUUAUGGGACUAAAUAGCGGCAUAAUAACAAUCUUAAUCAGUUUCUAUAUAUAAGGUUUUGUGCUGUUAUUUCCUUGUGAAGAUCUAUAAUUGCACAUACUUUUCCCUAUGCAACAGUGGGAGAAUACAGGAAAAUAAUCAGAGAUAUGAGAGGGUUAGGUUUAAUCUCCUUUUUUUACUUUUCCUUAACUUUAAUGGGAAUUGGGUGCCCAGAUCUCUUAGCUUUUAAACUCUGAGCUAUAUUCAAUAUUAAGAAUGUAGUGAUCCCAGCUAUGCUAUCAGAUAUGUCCACACAACUCCAGUUGACUUAAAAGGAUGCUGAAUGGUUUUCUCUUGAACAAAUUCAAACCUAGUGUGCAAAAGUGCAACUUAAUUGAUAUUAGUGAAUUUACAUUAGUGAAUACAGGAGUGAAUUUGAACGCAUGACCCUAAUCCCACAAACAUUAAUGCAUAUGCUUAUCUUUGAGUAUGUAAGUAAUUCCAUUGACUUCAGUAGGACAAUUCAUAUGGUUAAAGUUCUAUUCUAUAUAGGUUUUUAUGCCGUGCACAUUGCCAUAGGAUCUGAGUGCCUUUCAGUAGUGAAUUAAGCAACAUGACUAACAUCUGCCACAUAUUUGUUCUCUCAUCCUCUCCCCAGGGGAAGUAGUGUGUGCAGUGGAAUGUUUUAGUUUGGAUUUUAAAAAAUAAUAUAUACUACGUUUUGCUAGAUGCUUAUGUUAGAGAAGGCAACGUCAAAGAAAGGAGCCUUGAACUUAGAGCAGAAGGUGCUGAGCUUUGUGAUGGUCCUUAGUUCCUGCGGGAGUCCAUUCCACAGUCUUGGCCCAGUCCCUGAGAAAGUAGGCACACCAGUCUUCACAGGAGCAGACCUAAAAUUGUAAUUUUACUGUUAUAGUAAGUCAAUUUUAAAUAAUAUAAUAGGAGAUAGUAUAGAUUCAGAAUUGUCUGUUACACUGACUAGUAUAGCUACAGUAAUAGUUUGCUAAUAUUACAAAUUAUACAUUUUUAAUCAGUAAAAGUAUUAGAUAAUUAAAUCAUGUAGUAAUAACAAUUUAAAAGAGCAAAUGUCGCCCAGUCAUAAAUAGUUUAUUCAUUAUAACAGUCAUAGCCUACCUUACUGUCCAGAGCAAAAAAACUAAUAGCUGUGGGGUACUAAAUUCACAAUACACAAAAUACACAAACAUUGCCUGACUUACUGACCCAAUCCAGCUCCCAUUGCGGGCAAUGGAAGGACUCCCUUUGGCUUCAGUUGGAGUUGGAUCAGUUUAUAUGUAAGAUCUUGGGCAAGUCAUUUGACCUUCUUGUAUGUUAGUCAAACUAGGGAAUAAUCCUGCAUUCCUUGCAUGCCCAAACUCUCAGAGUAAGUAUAGACACAAUAAAUCAACUGCUAAGCGCUCUCCCGUCGACUCCGAUACUCCACCAAAAAGAGAAGUGUAAGCAGAGUCGACGGGAGAGCAUCAGCUGUCAACUUACCGCAGUGAAGACACCGCGGUAAGUAGAUCUAAGUACGUUGACUUCAGCUAUGCUAUUCACGUAGCUGAAGUUGCAUAUCUUAGAUCAACCCUGCACGGUAGUCUAGACAAGCCCUAAGUUUUAGAUGCACAAGAAAUACAGGAUCAAGACUUAGUUGUACAAUAGCUGUACAAUCGGGUGAAAGCAAAUUUGCAAGGACUAGACAGAUGAUAGGGCUUAGAGUAAGUAAGAACGUUAUUUUGAGGAUUAAUAUUGCAAGAUUUUCAAAUACAGAAUCAUGCAAUUUUGCAGAAACUAUUACAGAUCAGAACUGACUCUUGAUUAUUAAAAGUGAAGCUGUUCCAUCCUAAAGUAAAAUGAGACACCUAUAUUAAAAAUACACAAAUGUAACUUUAUUUUUAAAAUACUAUUUUAUUAUAAACUGGUAUAUAUAACAUUCAUAUUUAGUAUAAGCAGCCAUGAACAAGGUAAAGAUUUAAAAAAGUAAAUUUGUGAAAUGAUUUAUACAUAAAUAUACAAUAACCCUUCCUCUCCAAGUCUUUUUAUUUAAUCUUUGGCAAGUGAGUAUUGCUUUUAGUAGUAUUUUACUAUAGCAUUUCUGAAUUUCUUCACAGAAGUACUAAACAUUAUAAUAUUAAUAUUCUUUGAGAUUAUUUUCAUUUUGUCUAAUUCCAUAUAUUCCACACACAUUCCCUGAUCGAUGUGUACACCUCACUCCCAUCACUUUUAAUGGGACUGAGUUUUUACAUCAAUGGAGAACAUAUGUGCACAAAAAGGGAAACUUUCAGAUAUGGGACUAAAGUUAAGCAUCUACAUUUAUAUUUAGGCAAAUACACACGUAGCCUGACUUUCAGAGAUCCUAAGCAUACCCUGCAGCUAUUAAUUUCAAGCUCCCACAUUUCAAAAUUUUGGCCAAAAACUGCAGGAUUGGAUUUAAUAUUUGACGUCAGAGGAUAAUCAUGCAAAUCCCUUAAUCCAAUGUUUGAGUAUGAUUCUUGAUCCAAUAAAUGAGAACUUUAUCUGAAUAAGGACAGUAUUUGUACAUUAACAUUCUUCUUUCAGACAUCCUACAAGACUCAUAUAUCCAAGACUCACUUAUCCAAGCAAAAUAUUUUCCAGCAGCCCAGGCCAAUUGAAGAUUCUGCUAUGUAUCAUAGGAAGAAUAAGAAAAUAAUAGUUUAAAAUUGUUGCUCUAGCUUUGUAAACAAAAGAUCAGUGUUCAUGUUUUUCCUCUGCAAGAAAUAAAACUUUUGUGAUUAGUAGUAAAAACAUAUUCUGCAGCUUAAGUAAAACCACCCCCUAUUUGUGAAA
Molecule: long non-coding RNA, 4572 nt
Organism: Chelonia mydas (Green sea turtle)
Lineage: Eukaryota; Metazoa; Chordata; Testudines; Cheloniidae
Exons: 2
Source: RefSeq, a predicted model, not a curated record